AGAGUUUGAUCCUGGCUCAGGAUGAACGCUAGCGGCAGGCCUAACACAUGCAAGUCGAGGAGCAGCGCGAUGUAGCAAUACAUUGGCGGCGACCGGCGCACGGGUGCGUAGCACGUAUGGAACCUGCCCUGUACUGGGAGAUAACCCGGAGAAAUCCGGACUAAUAUCCCAUAACAACCGAGGUGGCAUCACCUUGGCUUGAAAGCUCCGGCGGUACAGGAUGGCCAUGCGCCCGAUUAGCUAGUUGGUGAGGUAACGGCUCACCAAGGCUACGAUCGGUAGGGGGCCUGAGAGGGUUAUCCCCCACACUGGUACUGAGACACGGACCAGACUCCUACGGGAGGCAGCAGUGAGGAAUAUUGCGCAAUGGAGACAACUCUGACGCAGCCAUGCCGCGUGCAGGAAGAAGGCGCUACGCGUUGUAAACUGCUUUUAAUCGGGAAGAAACCCCGGGACGUGUCCCGGGUUGACGGUACCGAUGGAAUAAGCACCGGCUAACUUCGUGCCAGCAGCCGCGGUAAUACGAAGGGUGCAAGCGUUAUCCGGAUUCAUUGGGUUUAAAGGGUGCGUAGGCGGGACAGCAAGUCAGCGGUGAAAUCCCGUGGCUCAACCACGGAAUUGCCGUUGAUACUGCUGUUCUUGAGUACGUUUGACGUGGGCGGAAUGUGCCGUGUAGCGGUGAAAUGCUUAGAUAUGGCACAGAACACCGAUAGUGAAGACAGCUCACGAAGACGAAACUGACGCUGAGGCACGAAAGCGUGGGGAUCAAACAGGAUUAGAUACCCUGGUAGUCCACGA
RNAcentral lists this ribosomal RNA (798 nucleotides) under bacterium enrichment culture. RNAcentral describes it as "bacterial SSU rRNA". It matches the Rfam family "Bacterial small subunit ribosomal RNA", at positions 8 to 800 of the family's 1533-position model. The record is from RNAcentral.